CCGACUGAAACAAUCGGAUCAGGGUAUUUUGCAGAUCUUUGUUUGUGUUUUGAGAGAACGGCCUAUAAAUUCAUCGUUAACCACCAGGGAUUGAAGGAGCCGCUUCCGAUCUGUGGAACAAAACUGCGGGAAGUCUGCAUAGAACCUUACCAGAGAGAUGGAUGCUAUAAAACUUGUUGCGAAACAACUAGAGAAAGAAGAUGACGACGACGACGAAGAUGACGACGACGACGACGAAGAUGAAGGAACCAUCAUGCAUCAUGAACUCCUUUCGUCGAAUAAGUAAUUAACCAAGUGGGAAAAAGCACCAAAUUGAAAGCAUUAUUUCUUGGAACAUUUGGUAAGUUCACUACUCAAUUCUGACGUUUGUUUAUUUUAUGGAAAAUAAUAUCUUUUUGAUUAUAAACGGUGGAAUCAUCCAUUUUGAUAUAUAAGAAAUGAUCGAUUUGAAAAUGCUGUAAGAGAUCAAAUGUAAAAAUAUUUUUUUUAUACAUGCGAUCAGUAAGCGAACUAGGAUCUGCAAGAUCCUACUUUGA
Carica papaya (papaya) is the source of this 536-nucleotide non-coding RNA. The record is from RefSeq and is a predicted model, not a curated record. Lineage: Eukaryota; Viridiplantae; Streptophyta; Magnoliopsida; Brassicales; Caricaceae.